CUGUAUGAAUGGCAUAACGAGGGUUUAACUGUCUCCCUCCCCCAGUCAAUGAAAUUGAUCUGCCCGUGCAGAAGCGGACAUAAACACAUAAGACGAGAAGACCCUAUGGAGCUUUAGACAAAAGAUCAAACAUGUAAAGAAACCAAACCAACCAAAAGGAACACAAAGGCCACAAAACCCAACGUAAAAUGAUCAAAAUGUCUUCGGUUGGGGCGACCAUGGGGGAAAGAAAAGCCCCCACGAGGAACUAAGGGCAAUCCAUUAAGCCAAGAGAUACACCUCUAAGCAACAGAAAAUCUGACCAAAAAUGACCCAGGACACUAAUCCUGAUCAACGAACCAAGUUACCCUAGGGAUAACAGCGCAAUCCUUUCCCAGAGUCCAUAUCGACGAAAGGGUUUACGACCUCGAUGUUGGAUCAGGACAUCCUAAUGGUGCAGCCG
Molecule: ribosomal RNA, 442 nt
Filed under: Anguilla marmorata (giant mottled eel)
Lineage: Eukaryota; Metazoa; Chordata; Actinopteri; Anguilliformes; Anguillidae
Description: partial 16S ribosomal RNA
Rfam family: Bacterial large subunit ribosomal RNA
Source: RNAcentral